Molecule: long non-coding RNA, 1733 nt
Organism: Myotis myotis
Lineage: Eukaryota; Metazoa; Chordata; Mammalia; Chiroptera; Vespertilionidae
Exons: 3
Source: RefSeq, a predicted model, not a curated record
UUUUCACAACUAUUCUACAAGGAGUGCACCCUCAUCUCCACUGCAGAGACAGGGAAUUCUGGCACCUACAUGCUGAACGCUGCACAGCUCUGGAAAUACUACACGUGCAGACCGCCUUCAUUUCAUCUUCCGUAGUAAGCUCGUUCUGCACUUACCCGUACCCCCUCGGCAAGGGUGCGUGUUACACGAGGCCAAGAUUGAUCAUCCACACUGAGGCCGAGGGGGGUGGAGGUGACUCAACAGCCAAUGUUGGCCAACGUCUGGGCAGGGCAACCGGCAGUGUUCCAGAAUGUUCCAGAGCGUUCCAGAACACUCCAGAACGGGACUGCCCCGUCCGCCAAGGAGGACCAGGGCUUUCUCCAUGACCCACAACAGACACGACCCAUACGUGAGACGUGAAGUUACCGUGUUCAGCUGCUGGGAUGUUGGGUUUCUCGGUUUCUGCCGCCGAGCCUAGCUGAGCCUCACCAUUGGAACUUGCAGCCCAUUUUACAGAUGACAAAACUGAGGCAGACCUUCAGUCACACAGACAGAAAGUGACGGAAGCAGCAUUAGAAUCCAAGCAGUCGGCCUGCAGAGUCUCUGCUCUUAUUGCUUUUUCUACUUCUUGAUUUUGUUUGUUUUGCCUUGUUAAUCCUCACCUGAGGGUAUUUUUCCAUUGAUUUCUACAGAGAGAGGAAGGGAGGGGGAGGGACAGGGAGAGAAGCACAUCAAUUGGUUGCACGUGCCCUGACCCGGGCCCGGGAUCACCGAGGGCCAUGCCCUUGGCCGGGCUUGAACCCGGGACCCUGCAGUCCACGCGCCGACGCUCUACCCACUGAGCCACACCAGCCAGGGCUGCGCUUUUACUUCUCAGCCGCCUCUCUGGUCAGGACGCGUCCAGGGGAGCGUGGCACGCGCGGGAGAGACCCAACGGCGGUGGGUUCUGGGGCGAAAGUGUGAAUUUCCUGCAACACGGGGACUAAAUUGGACACGAAGGGUGGGGGUUCCCGCUGGAAUCCCGGCCAGAAAGACGAAGAACGUGAGCAGAAGGCUCUGUGGGUGCAGCCAAGAGACAGGAACACAGAACAGCAAGUCGGGGUGCCUAAAUUUAUUCUUAAUGGAUGUGUCCGUUAGAAACGAUCCCUAUACACAAAACUACGGCUUGACUAUCAGCCGAGAAAUCGAAGCUGCACCCGUUUUCCCCGCUUGUCCCCCGCAUCUCAGGGCUGCUUUUCGUAAAAUGAAACAGGACGCGCUUCUGCGGGUGAUUGACGAUCUGCCCCUAGCACAGUCUAACUCGGGCUAUUUUCGGAGGGCCCGGCGGAAAAAUUGCUCCCGUGUCUAUAAAAAGCGAGUGUAUUUUGAGAAGUAGAAGAUGAGAAACAAGAAGAAAAAGAUGUGUGUUUUUUUAAAAAAAAAUGCCGCUGCCCGUCCGGUGGGAGCCGGAGCCGAGAAUCUCGUGUCCCUGAGAACACCAUUCCCUCUGACGCUAUUAGAAAAGGAAGAACCUAGAUCAGAAUCAGCCUGCGGCAAACGGAGCCUGGACCGGACUCCGUCCCCCAAAAAUAACUCAUUAAAAAUAUCAUCUCACAUGUGCAUCUCAUUUUGGCUCCUCAACGACAGACGCUGCCCGGCCGGGGUGGCUCAGUGGUUGAGCAUCGACCUGUGAACCAGGAGGUCAGGGUUCGAGUCCCGGUCCAGGGCACAGGCCCGGGUUGCGGGCUCCAUCCCCCGUGGGGGGCGUGCGGGAG